AUACGUAGGUGGCAAGCGUUGUCCGGAAUUACUGGGCGUAAAGGAUGCGUAGGCGGCCUCUUAAGUGGGAUGUGAAAUGCCGGGGCUUAACCCCGGAGGUGCAUUCCAUACUGGGAGGCUAGAGUGCAGGAGAGGAAAGCGGAAUUCCCAGUGUAGCGGUGAAAUGCGUAGAGAUUGGGAGGAACACCAGUGGCGAAGGCGGCUUUCUGGACUGUAACUGACGCUGAGGCAUGAAAGUGUGGGGAGCAAACAGGAUUAGAUACCCUGGUAGUCCACACCGUAAACGAUGGGCACUAGGUGUAGGGGGCGUAGCCCUCUGUGCCGCAGUUAACACAUUAAGUGCCCCGCCUGGGGAGUACGAUCGCAAGAUUAAA
This 374-nucleotide ribosomal RNA is filed under the name uncultured bacterium. RNAcentral describes it as "bacterial SSU rRNA". It matches the Rfam family "Bacterial small subunit ribosomal RNA", at positions 523 to 898 of the family's 1533-position model. The record is from RNAcentral.